This 1020-nucleotide ribosomal RNA is filed under the name Triticum aestivum (bread wheat). RNAcentral describes it as "partial small subunit ribosomal RNA". The record is from RNAcentral. Lineage: Eukaryota; Viridiplantae; Streptophyta; Magnoliopsida; Poales; Poaceae.
AUGAUAAGAAAGGGUGUCCCCCCUGCUACCAAUGAAGGAGAUUCAUCUAAAGAAGAGGAAGAUGUUCAUCAAGGAAGAAGGAGAGGUAAUCUUGGAGCAAGACCGCCACGACAACAUGUUGUUCAACGUGCUUCAAGAAGGCCAAUUUAUGUUGAGGCUUCUGAAGGUGAAGAAUAUGAUGAUGCCCUUGAAGAGCCAAAUCUCUACGCAUAUCGGAGAGCACCCAACCCUACAUAUGCAAGAGAUACAUACAAGGUGAAAGCUGAGAUCCCAUGUUUUAAUGGAAAUGUUGACAUUGAAGGGUGCCUGGAUUGGUUAUAUGAAGUGGAGACUUUCUUUGAGGUCAUGGAGGUUCCGGAAGAUCGUAGAGUUCCUUUGGUCGCAUACAAACUGAAAGGAGGAGCCGGUGCAUGGUGGCAUCGCGUUCAAGAGGAGCGCAGGCUGAGAGGAGAACCUCGUGUUAGAACUUGGCGACAAAUGAAAGGCCUCUUGAAAGGGACAUUUUUGCCCGCCGAUUAUGACCAGAUCCUAUUUAUCCAAUUUCAAAAUUGUGCUCAAGGAAAUAGGACUGUUUCAGAUUACACGGAGGAGUUUCUAAGGCUACAAGUGAGGUGCAACCUUGCUGAAACUGAAGAGCAACAAGUUGCAAGGUACAUCAAUGGUCUCAAUGAUGCUAUUCAAGAUCGAUUGAUGAUGCAACAAAUCUGGUCCAUUGAUCAAGCACAAGCUCUAGCCUUAAAGGCCGAGAGGUUUGUGAGGAUGAGAAAGACAACUAAGGCUCCAUAUCCUCCAUAUCCUCAUACCGAAGGCUCAUCUAGGAUCCAACCUAAUAGAGUGGAAGAAAAGACCACUCCACCAAAGACAAAACAACCCAUCCCGAAGCAAACUAGAGGCAAGGGUAAGGCAAAUGAAGGCCCAAAGUGCUAUAAAUGUGGUAAAGAGGGACACAUAUCCAGCGGCUACCCACUAAGGAAAUUUGUUAACACGACUAUCCAUGAUGGUGAAAGCGAUGAGGAAUAA